GAUGAACGCUGGCGGCGUGCCUAACACAUGCAAGUCGAACGGAGUCCAGCCUUUAAGACCUUCGGGUCAAAGAGGGGAAGACUGAGUGGCGGACGGGUGAGUAACACGUGGGCAACCUGGCUCAUAGAGGGGGAUAACAGAGAGAAAUUUCUGCUAAUACCGCAUAAGCACACACUGCCGCAUGGCAGAGGGUGAAAAGAGAAUCGCUAUGAGAUGGACCCGCGUCUGAUUAGCCAGUUGGCAGGGUUAGAGCCUACCAAAGCGACGAUCAGUAGCCGAUCUGAGAGGAUGAACGGCCACAUUGGGACUGAGACACGGCCCAAACUCCUACGGGAGGCAGCAGUGGGGGAUAUUGCACAAUGGGGGGAACCCUGAUGCAGCGACGCCGCGUGAGUGAAGAAGUAUUUCGGUAUGUAAAGCUCUAUCAGCAGGGAAGAUAAUGACAGUACCUGAAUAAGAAGCCCCGGCUAACUACGUG
Molecule: ribosomal RNA, 478 nt
Filed under: uncultured bacterium
Lineage: Bacteria
Description: partial 16S ribosomal RNA
Rfam family: Bacterial small subunit ribosomal RNA
Source: RNAcentral